UGAGGCCUACGGGGGGCAGCAGUGAGGAAUAUUGGUCAAUGGGAGAGAUCCUGAACCAGCCAAGCCGCGUGAGGGAAGACGGCCCUAUGGGUUGUAAACCUCUUUUGUCGGAGAACAAAACCCGGGACGUGUCCCGGACUGCGUGUAUCCGAAGAAAAAGCAUCGGCUAACUCCGUGCCAGCAGCCGCGGUAAUACGGAGGAUGCGAGCGUUAUCCGGAUUUAUUGGGUUUAAAGGGUGCGUAGGCGGAUUUUUAAGUCAGCGGUAAAAUGUCCGGGCUCAACCCGGGCCGGCCGUUGAAACUGG
Molecule: ribosomal RNA, 305 nt
Filed under: uncultured bacterium
Lineage: Bacteria
Description: bacterial SSU rRNA
Rfam family: Bacterial small subunit ribosomal RNA
Source: RNAcentral